Molecule: transfer RNA, 71 nt
Filed under: Camelus bactrianus (Bactrian camel)
Lineage: Eukaryota; Metazoa; Chordata; Mammalia; Artiodactyla; Camelidae
Also listed under: 2 other names
Rfam family: tRNA
About the family: Transfer RNA (tRNA) molecules are approximately 80 nucleotides in length. Their secondary structure includes four short double-helical elements and three loops (D, anti-codon, and T loops). Further hydrogen bonds mediate the characteristic L-shaped molecular structure. tRNAs have two regions of fundamental functional importance: the anti-codon, which is responsible for specific mRNA codon recognition, and the 3' end, to which the tRNAs corresponding amino acid is attached (by aminoacyl-tRNA synthetases). tRNAs cope with the degeneracy of the genetic code in two manners: having more than one tRNA (with a specific anti-codon) for a particular amino acid; and 'wobble' base-pairing, i.e. permitting non-standard base-pairing at the 3rd anti-codon position.
Source: Rfam by way of RNAcentral
GAGGGUAUAGCUCAGUGGUAAAGUACAUGCUUAGCAUGCAUGAGGUCCUGGGUUCAAUUCCCAAUACCUCA